This 253-nucleotide ribosomal RNA is filed under the name uncultured bacterium. RNAcentral's name for it is "partial 16S ribosomal RNA". It matches the Rfam family "Bacterial small subunit ribosomal RNA", at positions 524 to 776 of the family's 1533-position model. The record is from RNAcentral.
UACGUAGGGAGCAAGCGUUGUCCGGAAUCAUUGGGCGUAAAGCGCGCGUAGGUGGUCAUGUAAGUCCGCUGUGAAAGUCAAAGGCUCAACCUUUGAAAGCCGGUGGAUACUGCAUGGCUAGAGUACGGAAGAGGCGAGUGGAAUUCCUGGUGUAGCGGUGGAAUGCGCAGAUAUCAGGAGGAACACCAAUAGCGAAGGCAGCUCGCUGGGACGUCACUGACACUGAGGCGCGAAAGCGUGGGGAGCGAACAGG